GAUGAAGAACGCAGCGAAAUGCGAUAAGUAAUGUGAAUUGCAGAAUUCAGUGAAUCAUCGAAUCUUUGAACGCACAUUGCGCCCGCCAGUAUUCUGGCGGGCAUGCCUGUUCGAGCGUCAUUUCAACCAUCAAGCCCCCGGCUUGUGUUGGGGACCUGCGGCUGCCGCAGGCCCUGAAAACCAGUGGCGGGCUCGCUAGUCACGCCGAGCGUAGUAAUACAUCUCGCUCAGGGCGUGCUGCGGGUUCCGGCCGUUAAAAAGCCUUAUUUACCCAAGGUUGACCUCGGAUCAGGUAGGAAGACCCGCUGAACUUAAGCAUAUCAAUAAGCGGAGGA
RNAcentral lists this unclassified non-coding RNA (335 nucleotides) under soil metagenome. RNAcentral's name for it is "partial contains 5.8S ribosomal RNA, internal transcribed spacer 2, and large subunit ribosomal RNA". The stretch from base 1 to 120 matches the Rfam family "5.8S ribosomal RNA", at positions 35 to 154 of the family's 154-position model. The record is from RNAcentral.